CUCCUCAGUGAUGAGACCCAUACCGCCCCAGUCUGAUACCUGUGACUGAGUGGUCCCUUCUGAGUGUAG
Molecule: small nucleolar RNA, 69 nt
Filed under: Pelodiscus sinensis (Chinese soft-shelled turtle)
Lineage: Eukaryota; Metazoa; Chordata; Testudines; Trionychidae
Source: RNAcentral